Molecule: non-coding RNA, 311 nt
Organism: Cinara cedri
Lineage: Eukaryota; Metazoa; Arthropoda; Insecta; Hemiptera; Aphididae
Source: the annotation of a GenBank genome assembly
UGCUAAUGAGUUGGUUAAAUUAUUUCUCAAAAUUUGGAAACAGAAUCCUUUGGAAUGUAGGCUUUUGACGUUUCAAAUUCAGAAAUAGAUCGUCAUAGAAUGACAUUAAUAAAUAACGGGAUGAAAAACUGUUGGCUGAUAAUGAUAAGAUCUGAACAAAAACCCAUAGUGACUACACAAAAACCACGAUGUCAUAGUAACUAAUUUAUUGAGAUAUCUAGCACAAAAAGGGAAAAUUUCCUAGACUCGUCCUCUUUCCACACUAAACACAAACUUUAUCUAUUCAUAUUUUCAUAAUGGUUUGAUAGAUU